This 253-nucleotide ribosomal RNA is filed under the name uncultured bacterium. RNAcentral describes it as "partial 16S ribosomal RNA". It matches the Rfam family "Bacterial small subunit ribosomal RNA", at positions 524 to 776 of the family's 1533-position model. The record is from RNAcentral.
GACAGAGGUCUCGAGCGUUAGGCGGAAUCACUGGGCUUAAAGCGUGUGUAGGCGGACUUGUAAGUACCUUGUGAAAUCCCACGGCUCAACCGUGGAACUGCUUGGUAUACUGCUUGUCUUGGGCCAUCUAGGGGUUACCGGAACAAACGGUGGAGCGGUGAAAUGCGUAGAUAUCAAGUGGAACACCAGUGGCGAAGGCGAGUCUCUGGACAUUUCCUGACGCUGAGGCACGAAAGCCAGGGGAGCAAACGGG